GGGUUGUGAGGUUAAGCGACUAAGCGUACACGGUGGAUGCCCUGGCAGUCAGAGGCGAUGAAGGACGUGCUAAUCUGCGAUAAGCGUCGGUGAGGUGAUAUGAACCGUUAUAACCGGCGAUUUCCGAAUGGGGAAACCCAGUGUGUUUCGACACACUAUCAUUAACUGAAUCCAUAGGUUAAUGAGGCGAACCGGGGGAACUGAAACAUCUAAGUACCCCGAGGAAAAGAAAUCAACCGAGAUUCCCCCAGUAGCGGCGAGCGAACGGGGAGGAGCCCAGAGCCUGAAUCAGUGUGUGUGUUAGUGGAAGCGUCUGGAAAGGCGCGCGAUACAGGGUGACAGCCCCGUACACAAAAAUGCACAUAUUGUGAGCUCGAUGAGUAGGGCGGGACACGUGGUAUCCUGUCUGAAUAUGGGGGGACCAUCCUCCAAGGCUAAAUACUCCUGACUGACCGAUAGUGAACCAGUACCGUGAGGGAAAGGCGAAAAGAACCCCGGCGAGGGGAGUGAAAAAGAACCUGAAACCGUGUACGUACAAGCAGUGGGAGCCUCUUAAUGGGGUGACUGCGUACCUUUUGUAUAAUGGGUCAGCGACUUAUAUUCUGUAGCAAGGUUAACCGAAUAGGGGAGCCGAAGGGAAACCGAGUCUUAACUGGGCGUUAAGUUGCAGGGUAUAGACCCGAAACCCGGUGAUCUAGCCAUGGGCAGGUUGAAGGUUGGGUAACACUAACUGGAGGACCGAACCGACUAAUGUUGAAAAAUUAGCGGAUGACUUGUGGCUGGGGGUGAAAGGCCAAUCAAACCGGGAGAUAGCUGGUUCUCCCCGAAAGCUAUUUAGGUAGCGCCUCGUGAAUUCAUCUCCGGGGGUAGAGCACUGUUUCGGCAAGGGGGUCAUCCCGACUUACCAACCCGAUGCAAACUGCGAAUACCGGAGAAUGUUAUCACGGGAGACACACGGCGGGUGCUAACGUCCGUCGUGAAGAGGGAAACAACCCAGACCGCCAGCUAAGGUCCCAAAGUCAUGGUUAAGUGGGAAACGAUGUGGGAAGGCCCAGACAGCCAGGAUGUUGGCUUAGAAGCAGCCAUCAUUUAAAGAAAGCGUAAUAGCUCACUGGUCGAGUCGGCCUGCGCGGAAGAUGUAACGGGGCUAAACCAUGCACCGAAGCUGCGGCAGCGACACUAUGUGUUGUUGGGUAGGGGAGCGUUCUGUAAGCCUGUGAAGGUGGCCUGUGAGGGUUGCUGGAGGUAUCAGAAGUGCGAAUGCUGACAUAAGUAACGAUAAAGCGGGUGAAAAGCCCGCUCGCCGGAAGACCAAGGGUUCCUGUCCAACGUUAAUCGGGGCAGGGUGAGUCGACCCCUAAGGCGAGGCCGAAAGGCGUAGUCGAUGGGAAACAGGUUAAUAUUCCUGUACUUGGUGUUACUGCGAAGGGGGGACGGAGAAGGCUAUGUUGGCCGGGCGACGGUUGUCCCGGUUUAAGCGUGUAGGCUGGUUUUCCAGGCAAAUCCGGAAAAUCAAGGCUGAGGCGUGAUGACGAGGCACUACGGUGCUGAAGCGACAAAUGCCCUGCUUCCAGGAAAAGCCUCUAAGCAUCAGGUAACAUCAAAUCGUACCCCAAACCGACACAGGUGGUCAGGUAGAGAAUACCAAGGCGCUUGAGAGAACUCGGGUGAAGGAACUAGGCAA
Molecule: ribosomal RNA, 1684 nt
Filed under: Escherichia coli
Lineage: Bacteria; Pseudomonadati; Pseudomonadota; Gammaproteobacteria; Enterobacterales; Enterobacteriaceae
Description: partial 23S ribosomal RNA
Rfam family: Bacterial large subunit ribosomal RNA
Source: RNAcentral